This 717-nucleotide ribosomal RNA is filed under the name Triticum aestivum (bread wheat). Its description in RNAcentral is "partial small subunit ribosomal RNA". Lineage: Eukaryota; Viridiplantae; Streptophyta; Magnoliopsida; Poales; Poaceae. The record is from RNAcentral.
AUGAUUGGGAUCACCCAACUCCCCUCAAGCUCGGCAAGUGAUCCAGGUGAUAGGAAAUUUUGGGAUGUGAUCUCGAAAUCCCGCGUGCCGGAGAAAGUCAAGAUUUUUGGCUGGCGAGUGGCAACUAAUUCGUUAGCCACAAAGCACAAUCUUUUCAGAAGGACAAUUGUUAACGAAGAUGUGUGUGACAUCUGUGGAAUGGAGAGAGAGGACGAGUUCCAUGCAGUCAUCACAUGUACCAAAAGCAAAGCCCUGCGUUGUGCUCUAAGGACAAAAUGGGAAAUCCUGAAAGAGUGUGAGUUCAGAUUCACAGGAAGAGAUUGGCUGCAGAUGCUUCUAUUGAAGAACCCAGAGAUGAUCAGAAGCCGGAUUCUGCUAAUACUUUGGAAGGCUUGGCAUCUAAGAAAUAAUAUAGUUCAUGGGGAUGGGAGAGAAACAGUGAAGGGAGCGGUGCAACAGCUGAUUAGACUCGAGGAGGAUGUGCACACGGCCAUGCAGAAGGAAGCACGGGACAACAGUAAAAAUACAGUAUCCCUGUUCUGUAGCAAUCCUUGCAAACCAGUCUCGUUAGUGUCCAAUCAGUGGGAAGCACCCAAUUCGGGUACGGUGAAACUGAAUUGCGAUGCGGCAUUUGACGCUGAGACUGGAGACACGUGGGGGGCGCAGUCGCCAGAGACCACAGGGGGCUGGUUUUUGUGGCUGUCGGGCGGCGCCUGA